CGCCGGACCCGACUGCUAUCGGAUUGAGAUUUAGCCAUGCGAGUCGAACGUCCCCCUGUUGCGGGGGGCGUGGCGUACGGCUCAGUAACACGUAGUCAACCUGCCCUGGAGACAUGGACAACCCCGGGAAACUGGGAUUAAUCCGUGAUAGGUCAUCUCAUCUGGAAGGAGAGAUGGCUUAAAGGGGUACGCGGGCUUCUUCUGCGUAUUCGCUCCAGGAUGGGACUGCGUCCGAUCAGGCUGUUGGCGGGGUAAUGGCCCACCAAACCUGUAACCGGUACGGGCCUUGAGAGAGGUGGCCCGGAGAUGGACACUGAGAGAAGGGUCCAGGUCCUACGGGGCGCAGCAGGCGCGAAACCUUCGCAAUGCGCGAAAGCGUGACGAGGUUAAUCACGAGUGACUUCCGCUGAGGAGGUCUUUUGUCAGCUGUAAAUAUGGCAGGCGAAUAAG
Molecule: ribosomal RNA, 450 nt
Filed under: uncultured archaeon
Lineage: Archaea
Description: bacterial SSU rRNA
Rfam family: Archaeal small subunit ribosomal RNA
Source: RNAcentral